This is a long non-coding RNA of Sebastes umbrosus (honeycomb rockfish), 196 nucleotides long. RefSeq lists it as uncharacterized. The transcript has 2 exons. The record is from RefSeq and is a predicted model, not a curated record. Lineage: Eukaryota; Metazoa; Chordata; Actinopteri; Perciformes; Sebastidae.
GCGGUUAAUAACAACCUCCUCUCAGUCUGCUCCAGCUCCAGCUCCAGCUCCAGCAUCCAGGACAGACAGCGGCGGGCAGUGUGUGCCUGAGCCCGGAUCCACGCGCUCUCCUCUGGAUGAAAUAUGAAGAGCUCUGGAGCACAGCGAUGGGCAUUUGAGUCAUCUCCUGCAGAGGGCAAACAAAGACAUACUGUGA